AUGCAUGAUAUUGUAGAAGAAAUUGAUGUUACAAUUAAGCUUGCAAAUAGAGAUAAUAUUUCACCAGUUGGUAUUGUUAGGGAUGUUGAAGUCUUGUGUGGAAAGGUUAAGUAUCCUAUUGAUUUUCUUGUUCUUGGUUCCCCACAAGAUGACUUUUGUCCCAUUAUAUUUGGUAGACCCUUCUUGAAUAUUGUUAAUGCUAAUAUAGACUACGGAAAAGAUAUGGUUACUGUUGGUUUACGAGAUAUGUCUCAUGAUUUUAAUUUUGCUAAAUUUCAUAGACAACCCCAUUAUAAAGAACUGCCUAGUAAAGAUGAA
This 318-nucleotide ribosomal RNA is filed under the name Triticum aestivum (bread wheat). RNAcentral's name for it is "partial small subunit ribosomal RNA". The record is from RNAcentral. Lineage: Eukaryota; Viridiplantae; Streptophyta; Magnoliopsida; Poales; Poaceae.